GUCCACGCCGUAAACGAUGGAUACUAGCUGUUGGGCGCGACUUCAGUGGCUAAGCGAAAGUGAUAAGUAUCCCACCUGGGGAGUACGUUCGCAAGAAUGAAACUCAAAGGAAUUGACGGGGGCCCCGCACAAGCGGUGGAGCAUGUGGUUUAAUUCGAUGAUACGCGAGGAACCUUACCAAGGCUUAAAUGUAGAUUGACCGGUUUGGAAACAGACUUUUCGCAAGACAAUUUACAAGGUGCUGCAUGGUUGUCGU
This 256-nucleotide ribosomal RNA is filed under the name uncultured bacterium. RNAcentral describes it as "partial 16S ribosomal RNA". It matches the Rfam family "Bacterial small subunit ribosomal RNA", at positions 793 to 1055 of the family's 1533-position model. The record is from RNAcentral.